AGAAAAAAUUGAUUUAGCCAUGUCCAAUAUAGAGCAUCGAUGUCAAAGUUCAAAGCUGUGAGAAAGUAGUAGAAGAAGUGAGAAGGGAAAUUGGGAGACCAAAAAUGAUGUAAAAGGAAGUAGUAAGACAAGAUUUAUAAUUCCUGGAUAUCAAUGUGGAAUUGAUUUCAAAUAAGAUUAAAUAACAAAAAUUAUUUAUAUAGCUGACUCCAACUAGUUUGAAAUUAAAACUUAUUUAUUAUUAUUCUUG
Molecule: unclassified non-coding RNA, 250 nt
Filed under: Hevea brasiliensis (rubber tree)
Lineage: Eukaryota; Viridiplantae; Streptophyta; Magnoliopsida; Malpighiales; Euphorbiaceae
Source: RNAcentral